AUUGAACGCUGGCGGAAUGCUUUACACAUGCAAGUCGAACGGUAGAGGGGGCAACCCCUUGAGAGUGGCGAACGGGUGAGUAAUGUAUCGGAACGUGCCCAGUCGUGGGGAUAACGUAGCGAAAGUUACGCUAAUACCGCAUACGAUCUACGGAUGAAAGCGGGGGACUCGCAAGAGCCUCGCGCGAUUGGAGCGGCCGAUAUCAGAUUAGGUAGUUGGUGGGGUAAAGGCUCACCAAGCCAACGAUCUGUAGCUGGUCUGAGAGGACGACCAGCCACACUGGAACUGAGACACGGUCCAGACUCCUACGGGAGGCAGCAGUGGGAAUUUUGGACAAUGGACGCAAGUCUGAUCCAGCCAUUCCGCGUGCAGGAUGAAGGCCCUCGGGUUGUAAACUGCUUUUGUACGGAACGAAAAGGUUUCUAUUAAUACUAGGAGCUCAUGACGGUACCGUAAGAAUAAGCACCGGCUAACUACGUGCCAGCAGCCGCGGU
Molecule: ribosomal RNA, 494 nt
Filed under: uncultured bacterium
Lineage: Bacteria
Description: bacterial SSU rRNA
Rfam family: Bacterial small subunit ribosomal RNA
Source: RNAcentral